This 303-nucleotide ribosomal RNA is filed under the name uncultured bacterium. RNAcentral describes it as "partial 16S ribosomal RNA". It matches the Rfam family "Bacterial small subunit ribosomal RNA", at positions 507 to 807 of the family's 1533-position model. The record is from RNAcentral.
AGCAGUAGCCGCGGUAAUACGAAGGGUGCAAGCGUUACUCGGAAUUACUGGGCGUAAAGCGUGCGUAGGUGGUGGUUUAAGUCCGUUGUGAAAGCCCUGGGCUCAACCUGGGAAUUGCAGUGGAUACUGGAUCACUAGAGUGUGGUAGAGGAUAGUGGAAUUUCCGGUGUAGCAGUGAAAUGCGUAGAGAUCGGAAGGAACAUCUGUGGCGAAGGCGACUAUCUGGGCCAACACUGACACUGAGGCACGGAAGCGUGGGGAGCAAACAGGAUUAGAUACCCCAGUAGUCCCUGUCUCUUAUAC